Non-coding RNA from Paramuricea clavata, 1166 nucleotides. Lineage: Eukaryota; Metazoa; Cnidaria; Anthozoa; Malacalcyonacea; Plexauridae. The record is from the annotation of a GenBank genome assembly.
AGGUGGUUUUUCUGCAACGUACAAUCUAAAAAAGUCAUCCAGUAUUUUGAAAGGAGAGAUUGCUUUUGUGAAGCAACUGCAGAAAUGGUUGGGGAAGAAAUGUAAAUGGAAUCUUUGUUACAGAGCUUCCAGAGAUGGUUGGAGUGCCCAAGAUUUUCACAAACAUUGCGACAAUAACGGAGCGACAGUCGUUUUGGUGAAAGCCAAUGAUUGUAUUUUUGGAGGAUACACUGACCAACACUGGGACGGUAUGUCAGAUAAGAUACAUAAUAUUUCCAUAAUUUAUGAGAGCUAUAUAUUUGUACUGCAAACUGGUCGUUCGCACAAUAUCGGACGAAUUCGGAACCGUACGCCAAUUCGUUCAGUUCCAUUUGUUUACACGAGAAUUCCUAGGGUUGUGUUUGAGUUCGCCCAGUUUCAUGUGUCCCAUGUGAACGCAUCGAUUGGGUCAAAAUCAUCCCGAUCAUAUCCAAAAGUAAAUAUUAUAGAAACUAUUAAAUACUUUAUUAAUAUCUGAUCAUUAAUUUUGUUCAAUUUUAAGGACCCGGUGUUUAUAAACAUUCUAACUCGUCAUUUUUAUUCUCCCUACGCAACAAAGCGAACCUUGCUCCAUUUAUUGCCAACAUCAAGCAAGGUGAGCAGCAGCAUGCAAUCUACUGUUACCCUGGUUAUGGACCAGUCUUUGGUGGAGGUAUUAAUGAUCUGUGGAUUCGUGAUAAUCCUGAACAUAAUCAAUCAUCCAGCAAUUUUGGAAGCUCAUAUCAACUUCCUCCUGAUUAUGUCGAGAACAGUGAACAAGCAAAGAACCUUCUUGAUGGUCAGUACAAUUUCUUAACAACAGAAAUUGAAGUCUUCAACUGAAAACUUUUCGUUUAUAACAAUCCUCAAGUUAAUCAAUCAGACAGCAAUUUUGGAGACACAUAUCAACGUCCGCCCGAUUAUGUCUACAUGUAUGGCAGCGAACAAGCAACGAACCUUCUUACUGGUCUGUACCGUCUGGGAUUGACCGUGCCAAUAAUUUACAUGAUUUCACAAAACUUUUGACAAAAAUUUUCCGGACGAUUUUUGUCAAAAGUUUGGUAAAAUUAUCUGAAUCUUCUAUGAUCAAGAAAACACUGAUAAACCGAGUUUAGAAUAUCAUACUAAACAACAAGAGUUUAUACGAG